Molecule: long non-coding RNA, 219 nt
Filed under: Lathyrus oleraceus (garden pea)
Lineage: Eukaryota; Viridiplantae; Streptophyta; Magnoliopsida; Fabales; Fabaceae
Description: Pisum sativum (pea) long non-coding RNA (PSAT_LNC009816)
Source: RNAcentral
CGUUGCUUAUCGUAUCCACCUUUAUUCAUAGACUUUAGUGUGUUUCUUAUCUAAUAACUAUCAAGUCUCCUUCAUUUCAAUCAUAUUCUUUUGCCUCAUCAAUCAUCUUGCUUUCAUCCCUAGUGGACUGAACUACGAAAGCUCUGAUUUCCUUAUUGCACUAUAAGGAUACGUAGGCAGGAGAACCAAGUUUCUCCGUGAGCUACCUGUAAGACCCCA